This 433-nucleotide ribosomal RNA is filed under the name uncultured bacterium. RNAcentral's name for it is "partial 16S ribosomal RNA". It matches the Rfam family "Bacterial small subunit ribosomal RNA", at positions 29 to 507 of the family's 1533-position model. The record is from RNAcentral.
AACGAACGCUGGCGGCAUGCCUAACACAUGCAAGUCGAACGAGACCUUCGGGUCUAGUGGCGCACGGGUGCGUAACGCGUGGGAACCUGCCUUUAGGUUCGGAAUAACUCAGAGAAAUUUGAGCUAAUACCGGAUGAUGUCUUCGGACCAAAGAUUUAUCGCCUUUAGAUGGGCCCGCGUUGGAUUAGCUAGUUGGUGGGGUAAAGGCCUACCAAGGCGACGAUCCAUAGCUGGUCUGAGAGGAUGAUCAGCCACACUGGGACUGAGACACGGCCCAGACUCCUACGGGAGGCAGCAGCGGGGAAUAUUGGACAAUGGGCGAAAGCCUGAUCCAGCAAUGCCGCGUGAGUGAUGAAGGCCUUAGGGUUGUAAAGCUCUUUUACCCGAGAUGAUAAUGACAGUAUCGGGAGAAUAAGCUCCGGCUAACUCCGUG